This is a long non-coding RNA of Clupea harengus (Atlantic herring), 304 nucleotides long. RefSeq lists it as uncharacterized. The record is from RefSeq and is a predicted model, not a curated record. The transcript has 6 exons. Lineage: Eukaryota; Metazoa; Chordata; Actinopteri; Clupeiformes; Clupeidae.
GAGAACAUGGCCUGGAUGGAGUUCAUGGUGAACAGGGUGGUGCUGGAGUUCCUGGCGCACCUGGGGAGAGAGGAGAUCCUGGCAACCCUGGUCGACGAGGCAUCAGAGGGGAUCUUGGCAUAAAGGGACAGCAUGGUUUAAGAGGAGAUACUGGAGAACAUGGGGCAGACAACAUACUUGCAGGCCAAAAGGGAAAACAGGGAAACAGAGGAAGACAGGGAGAUACAGGGCUGGAUGGUCAAGUGGGAAUACUAGGAGAUCCUGGAAACCAUGGCCCUGCAGGAAAAAGAGGUCAACCAGGCAU